GGAAAAAUACUCAGAAAGGUUGAAGAAGUCUCUUUCUCCCUACACAGAACGUCUCCAACAGAUUGCAACCUAUUUAUUUAGCUGCUUUAGGUUAAAAAAAGGCAUAUAUAUGCCUUUAUUAACCUAAAGCAGCUUGACUGAGUGUCAUGAGUUUCACACAUAGAUUGGUUCUAAGGACUGUUUAGCAAAUUAUGGGGAGCAAACCUGCAUUUGCUAUUGAGGGGUAAACUAGAUUCAAGCUUUGGAGAUUUGGGAUCAGGUUUCAUAUCUCUAAACUGGAUUGGGAUCACCAUGCUGCAGGAAGGGUUAAACCAUCUCCCUUCCAUUUUCUCCAGUGUAUUCUGUUACUUGACUCACUUGACUCAGGCUGUAAUGAGUCUUAUUGGGGAGAAACAUAUAGGUUUAUAGAUGUGUUCCCUAACAGGACAAAGUAGCAGGUUUGUGGGGUGUGCUAGCAAAGGGUGAUUUGCACUGAGUUAACCCUUGCAUUGGGUUCACCAUUCCUUUGCAAGUGCCUAUUCAGUCCCAAUCUAAUAUGCUCUUUGCCCAACUGCUUCUAAAGGGAAUUUAAAGAGAUGGGAUAUAUAAUAAUGGUUCUCCAUGAUCAUCUCGAUUUGCACUGUACCAGUGAAGCCUGGGUUUCUGACAAGCAUAUCUAUUUGAAACGGGUGUUUGUCACAUCUGAAUGCCACAUUUUAAGGAACCACAUUUAAAAUAAUCUUAAGUGUACACCUUAAAUGUGCAAUAAGUGAAGAAGCCCUAAAUUAAGCACGAACAAUGUCAGAAAUACAUACUGGAUAUCAAACACUAGUGAGUUUUACACACACACACACAAACCCAUGUUGCAAUUUUCUGAUCUGUUCCACCCAUCCACAGCCAGGCUCCCCAAGCGAAUAAAAGAUUUCUUCAAAAUCAACACUACAUGGGAGCCACAAGAACAAGUUUUCCUUUGUUGUGAAUGCUAUAGCAUUAUUUGCUGUAGGUUUUUUUUUUUAAAAAAAUAUACAUUCUAAAUUAGGUCUGUGAAGGCAUGCUUCAUCUUUAAUUCAUCACUCUCAGCUGAAAGAGAUUAGCAAUGUCUAGCACGCACCCCCUAGUUUGGUGCUGACCUCAUCAAGUAUGGCCUGAAAUUAAUUAGCCUCAUUCAUUCCAAAUGGGGAGAAAAAGGAUAAUGGAGCAGUAUUUUUAAAGAUGACCACCACAAAUUGCCCAGAGUGUGUUUAAAAGUAUAACACCCCCUUCUCAAACACAUACAUUGUUUCAAAACCAUCUAGGCUAACAAACUUACUAGCUCUUGCAAAGUUAUGCUGAAAUUAGCAAGAGAUCAAGAUAGGAGGGCCCGGUUAUAUUUAGGAAGUUUGUUUACUUGUAACAAAUAAGCUGAGAAUCAGAGUACCUGGAAUAAAUGGACCGAGAUGUGGUUCUGUUUUGGCUGGACUAAGCACAUUAGUGUAUGUGCUGUAGGCAGAUCAAUGUGGAUAGAGCUACAUGAGGCAUCCCCAGAUGUAGUUGGACUGCAACUCUCAUAAUCCCCGAGUCAGACAAUUGGUCCAUCUAGCUCCAGUACUGUCUACACGGACUGGCAGGGGCUCUCCAGGGUUUCAGGCAAGGGACACUCACAGCCCUACUGGGAGAUGCCAGAGGUUGAACCUUGGGCCUUCUGCAUGCAAAGGAGAUGCUCUGCCACUGAAUUAGGGUCCUUUGUCCAUCUAUUACAUCUUUGGAAAUUCCUCUACAUUCUCACAGGAAAUGGUUUUCAUGACAUGAAACAGCAAUUCUAACUUGCAAAGGGCGAAGGGACUGUGUAGGAAUUAGCCAGGAAUAUUGAACAAUUGCAAGCAUUAUCAUAUGAAGGAGUUAUUGAAUACUCCUGGGUCUCCCCCCCCCCCAUUUUGGUAAAAGAAUGUAGAAAGUCCUCAUAUUUCUCUCUCUCUCUGCUGUAGCAAAGCCGUAGAAAAUUAUCAGCAAGAAAUGAAAGCUGUCUCUUCCAUCUUUGGUUUAAUUAACACAGGUAUUCCAAUUGAACUCCAUUUAUCAAGCGAUCAUGGAUUAAACAGUAACUCAGGGCUGACAAUGAAAAUGUUACCAGGAGGGCGGUGAAGAAUAGAUUGAAGAAAACCAAGUGAGUGACUUUGCCAUUGUGGGCAAGAACGAGCUUGUGUAAAUAUUAGCUAGGAAACAUGGUUCUUUUAUUCAGAUGGAGGGAUUGUUUUGUUUUUGCAGCCCGGAAAAGUUGGUUUGCCAGUCGAUGCAUCUAUUCAUUAACACUAUGAAUUGUGACUGGUUUUGUUUUUUUAAACCCACCAAUCUUUUUAAUAUAUCAGUUUCUCAGCUAAAACCCAUAGACUUUUUAGUGGAGUUCCUGAAUAGGAAGAGGCAGCAAUGCUUUGGAGGCAUAGAGGGGAGAAGAUUGCUCUUGUGCUCAGCUCCUGGCUUGUGAGUUUCCUACAGGCUUCUGGUUGGCUACUAUGACAACAGGUUGUUGAGCUGGGCUCAAAGUCUAGUAAAUGGCACAGCCUGAAUUUACUGCUAUGUGACUGAAUUCCACCCAAACAUAUUGGCAGCCUGGAAGCAUCCUUCAUCCUUUUGUGUUCUUCCCCCUCCCUAAAGGCAUUUUGCACACCCACACAUUUUGAGGUGUGGUGUAGUGGUUAAGAGCGAGACUCGUAAUCUGGGGAACCGGGUUUGCGUCUCUGCUCCUCCACAUGCAGCUGCUGGGUGACCUUGGGCUAGUCACACUUCUCUGAAGCCUCUCAGCCCCACUCACCUCACAGAGUGUUUCUUGUGGGAGAGGAAGGGAAAGGAGAAUGUUAGCCACUUUGAGACUCCUUUGGGUAGUGAUAAAGCGGGAUAUCAAAUCCAAACUCUUCUUCUUCUCUUCUUCUCCUCAGCCUGUUGUUACCUCCCUCUUACAACAGGGAUAUUAUAAGGCAUUUUCCUUCCACCUGGUAUAUGUCACAUGUAGCAGUGUUUCCAUUCUGCUGCAUUUCGUCUUCCACUAAAAACAAUGUUAUUUUUCUUGGCAAAAUCCAGCCAUAGGAACUAGUGAGAUGAAUAGCAUAAGCUGAACUGUAGCAGAAUGGAAAAGGCUCUGGUUGUGACAAACACAGGAUGGGACAGAAAUCAUUGCCUCCUUACAUCCCUUCUGGGCUUUAGGGAAGGCCUAAGCAGGCCAUGUGUGGCCUGCAGACUGCUCACCUGUGAGCUAGACAAAGGAGCCCCUAAUAAUGAGUAAAGGCAUUUCAACAACAACAACAACAUCAUAAUUAGUAGAAGGAAUAAGACCAAAGAGCGUGUUAAUGUUGAUUUUUCCUCAGUUUACUGGGGUAUCCCCCAAGCACACAUUGCAGUAAAAUAAACACCUGCCAGCCAUAUAGAGAAGCAAACCAAGCCUUUCCCUUUCUUCUUUCCAGUCGUCUUUUUAAAAAAAUAUAUAUAAAGGAAACGGAAUCUAUAAUUGUUGAUGCUUAUCUGCAACAGCUGUCUCUGAAGGAAAACACUAGAAAAAUGGCUGCUGGGAUGAUGUCGCCAGUGCAGUAGGACACUUAAGGGCCAAAAAUGUGUUCCUGAUAAUUAAAAAAAAAAAGAGCAGCGACAUUACAUACUCCCCCCUCUGCCCAAAUGCAUUCCCUGCCCUGAAUUACCUGAGCUCACUCAUAUCUCCUUCAGGAGGCAUAUCUGCUGAGCACAACAGCCUUAGGAGGGCACCUAGCCAUGGAGUUAUAAUUAGUGAGGCUUGUUCAUAAUGGCUUCAGAGGGUAGGGGAGCAGUGGUGCAGACCAGGCCUGGGGGCUCGCUCUUUCUUUCUUUCUUUCUCAUUCAUUGCCUUGCUGGGGGGGCGGGGAGAGACAUUGUGUAUAGGAGCUUUGUGACACGUGAUGUUACUACCUCUCACACCAGUCAAAUUGGAGUGGGAGGGUUUGAAAGGAACAUAAGAGAGAAAUAGAGAGAAAGAGAAUACCUUGGAUCACUGACCAUUUACCAAAUGAUAGGGGUGGGGAACAGAAACGCAGAUUCAUACACAAUGAAGGCCAGAGCUGGGGAAGCUUUUCAGUUUGAGGGCCAUACUGCUUUCUGAGCAACCUUCCAGGGGCCACACAUGCCAGUGGCUGGUGGGGCUGGAGGCAAAGGGAGGCAGAACAAUUAAUGCAAAAUUUGCACAGUAGGUUAGUUUUGACACUCCCUUCUGUAUCCUCCAUCCAGGAAGCACAAGGCAUUUACUCCAAUUCAAGGACACAUUCCAGAAGCAGGGCCAGUAGGAGGUGUGGUCUAGGAGAGUGCUGAGGGCCUGGUAGAGAGGCUUGUUGAAAGAUGCUGCACUAGAGCAUUGUGGGGAAUUUAAACUGGUGACUUGCCUUUGCCAACUGUGGCUCUGUCACAAGUGACCUACUGGUAUUGGAAAGAGUCAACUAGAGGGCAUGUUGUUUAGGGCCCUCUCAAGCCUUGAAGGGUUGGGUUCAGGAUGGCCCUGUCUCCUACUUUACAGAGGACAGCCCUCUGUUUGAAGGAGUCCUCUAUUUAAAGGGCUGUCUGGUCUAAAACUAGCUUAAAGCAUACCCUCCAACAUUUCUCCGAUGAAAAUAGGGAUGUCCCAUCCCAUAAUGAUAAUUUUACUAUUUAUACCCCACACAUCUCAUUGGGUUGCCCCAGCACUCUGGGCAGCUUCCAACAUAUAU
Non-coding RNA from Podarcis lilfordi (Lilford's wall lizard), 4676 nucleotides. The record is from the annotation of a GenBank genome assembly. NCBI's taxonomy places the organism in Eukaryota, Metazoa, Chordata, Lepidosauria, Squamata, Lacertidae.